GUUAUAUGGUCAAGUGAAUAAGCGCAUACGGUGGAUGCCUUGGCAGUCAGAGGCGAUGAAAGACGUGGUAGCCUGCGAUAAGCUUCGGGGAGUCGGCAAACAGACUUUGAUCCGGAGAUCUCUGAAUGGGGGAACCCACUCAGCAUAAGCUGGGUAUCUUGUACUGAAUCCAUAGGUACAAGAGGCGAACCAGGGGAACUGAAACAUCUAAGUACCCUGAGGAAAAGAAAUCAACCGAGAUUCCCUUAGUAGUGGCGAGCGAACGGGGACCAGCCCUUAAGUUGAUUUGAGAUUAGCGGAACGCUCUGGAAAGUGCGGCCAUAGUGGGUGAUAGCCCUGUACGCGAAAAUCUCUUUUCAAUGAAAUCGAGUAGGACGGAGCACGAGAAACUUUGUCUGAACAUGGGGGGACCAUCCUCCAAGGCUAAAUACUACUGACUGACCGAUAGUGAACCAGUACCGUGAGGGAAAGGCGAAAAGAACCCCGGAGAGGGGAGUGAAAUAGAACCUGAAACCGUAUGCGUACAAGCAGUGGGAGCAGACUUGUUCUGUGACUGCGUACCUUUUGUAUAAUGGGUCAGCGACUUAUAUUCAGUGGCGAGCUUAACCGAAUAGGGGAGGCGUAGCGAAAGCGAGUCUUAAUAGGGCGUUUAGUCGCUGGGUAUAGACCCGAAACCGGGCGAUCUAUCCAUGGGCAGGUUGAAGGUUAGGUAACACUGACUGGAGGACCGAACCGACUACCGUUGAAAAGUUAGCGGAUGACCUGUGGAUCGGAGUGAAAGGCUAAUCAAGCUCGGAGAUAGCUGGUUCUCCUCGAAAGCUAUUUAGGUAGCGCCUCAUGUAUCACUGUAGGGGGUAGAGCACUGUUUCGGCUAGGGGGUCAUCCCGACUUACCAAACCGAUGCAAACUCCGAAUACCUACAAGUGCCGAGCAUGGGAGACACACGGCGGGUGCUAACGUCCGUCGUGAAAAGGGAAACAACCCAGACCGUCAGCUAAGGUCCCAAAGUUAUGGUUAAGUGGGAAACGAUGUGGGAAGGCUUAGACAGCUAGGAGGUUGGCUUAGAAGCAGCCACCCUUUAAAGAAAGCGUAAUAGCUCACUAGUCGAGUCGGCCUGCGCGGAAGAUGUAACGGGGCUCAAACCAUACACCGAAGCUACGGGUGUCACGCAAGUGACGCGGUAGAGGAGCGUUCUGUAAGCCUGUGAAGGUCAGUUGAGAAGCUGGCUGGAGGUAUCAGAAGUGCGAAUGCUGACAUGAGUAACGACAAUGCGAGUGAAAAACUCGCACGCCGAAAAACCAAGGUUUCCUGCGCAACGUUAAUCGACGCAGGGUUAGUCGGUCCCUAAGGCGAGGCUGAAAAGCGUAGUCGAUGGAAAACAGGUUAAUAUUCCUGUACUUCUGGUUACUGCGAUGGAGGGACGGAGAAGGCUAGGCCAGCUUGGCGUUGGUUGUCCAAGUUUAAGGUGGUAGGCUGAGAUCUUAGGUAAAUCCGGGAUCU
Molecule: ribosomal RNA, 1500 nt
Filed under: Pseudomonas quercus
Lineage: Bacteria; Pseudomonadati; Pseudomonadota; Gammaproteobacteria; Pseudomonadales; Pseudomonadaceae
Description: Pseudomonas sp. hsmgli-8 partial 23S ribosomal RNA
Rfam family: Bacterial large subunit ribosomal RNA
Source: RNAcentral